This 465-nucleotide ribosomal RNA is filed under the name uncultured bacterium. RNAcentral describes it as "partial 16S ribosomal RNA". It matches the Rfam family "Bacterial small subunit ribosomal RNA", at positions 28 to 507 of the family's 1533-position model. The record is from RNAcentral.
GACGAACGCUGGCGGCGUGCUUAACACAUGCAAGUCGAACGGAAAGGCCCCUUUCGGGUUGCUCGCGUGGCGGACGGGUGUGUAACCCGUGAGUAACCUGCCCUUCACUUCCUGAUAACUUCAGGAAAUUGGUGCUAAUACCGGGUAGGAAUCCUUGCUUCAUCCUGGGGGUUGGAAAGCUUCGGCGGUUUUGGAUGGACUCGCGGCUUAUCAGCUUGUUGGUGGGGUAGUGGCUUACCAAGGCUUUGACGGGUAGCCGGCCUGAGAGGGCGAACGGCCACAUUGGGACGGAGAGAGGGACGAGACUGCUACGGGAGGCAGGAGGGGGGAAUAAUGCACAAUGGGCGGAAGACUGAUGGAGGAAGGAAGCGUGCGUGAUGACGGACUUCGGGUUGUAAACCGCUUUCAGCAGGGGGGAAGCUUGUGGUGACGGUACCUGAAGAAGAAGCACCGGCUAACUACGUG